UGGGGGCUGCUAUACAUGCAGUCGAGCGGACAGAAGGGAGCUUGCUCCCGGAUGUUAGCGGCGGACGGGUGAGUAACACGUGGGUAACCUGCCUGUAAGACUGGGAUAACUCCGGGAAACCGGAGCUAAUACCGGAUAGUUCCUUGAACCGCAUGGUUCAAGGAUGAAAGACGGUUUCGGCUGUCACUUACAGAUGGACCCGCGGCGCAUUAGCUAGUUGGUGGGGUAAUGGCUCACCAAGGCGACGAUGCGUAGCCGACCUGAGAGGGUGAUCGGCCACACUGGGACUGAGACACGGCCCAGACUCCUACGGGAGGCAGCAGUAGGGAAUCUUCCGCAAUGGACGAAAGUCUGACGGAGCAACGCCGCGUGAGUGAUGAAGGUUUUCGGAUCGUAAAGCUCUGUUGUUAGGGAAGAACAAGUGCGAGAGUAACUGCUCGCACCUUGACGGUACCUAACCAGAAAGCCACGGCUAACUACGUGCCAGCAGCCGCGGUAAUACGUAGGUGGCAAGCGUUGUCCGGAAUUAUUGGGCGUAAAGGGCUCGCAGGCGGUUUCUUAAGUCUGAUGUGAAAGCCCCCGGCUCAACCGGGGAGGGUCAUUGGAAACUGGGAAACUUGAGUGCAGAAGAGGAGAGUGGAAUUCCACGUGUAGCGGUGAAAUGCGUAGAGAUGUGGAGGAACACCAGUGGCGAAGGCGACUCUCUGGUCUGUAACUGACGCUGAGGAGCGAAAGCGUGGGGAGCGAACAGGAUUAGAUACCCUGGUAGUCCACGCCGUAAACGAUGAGUGCUAAGUGUUAGGGGGUUUCCGCCCCUUAGUGCUGCAGCUAACGCAUUAAGCACUCCGCCUGGGGAGUACGGUCGCAAGACUGAAACUCAAAGGAAUUGACGGGGGCCCGCACAAGCGGUGGAGCAUGUGGUUUAAUUCGAAGCAACGCGAAGAACCUUACCAGGUCUUGACAUCCUCUGACAACCCUAGAGAUAGGGCUUUCCCUUCGGGGACAGAGUGACAGGUGGUGCAUGGUUGUCGUCAGCUCGUGUCGUGAGAU
This 1050-nucleotide ribosomal RNA is filed under the name Bacillus safensis. RNAcentral describes it as "bacterial SSU rRNA". It matches the Rfam family "Bacterial small subunit ribosomal RNA", at positions 37 to 1073 of the family's 1533-position model. The record is from RNAcentral. Lineage: Bacteria; Bacillati; Bacillota; Bacilli; Caryophanales; Bacillaceae.